This 253-nucleotide ribosomal RNA is filed under the name uncultured bacterium. Its description in RNAcentral is "partial 16S ribosomal RNA". It matches the Rfam family "Bacterial small subunit ribosomal RNA", at positions 524 to 776 of the family's 1533-position model. The record is from RNAcentral.
UACGUAGGGUGCUAGCGUUGUCCGGAUUUAUUGGGCGUAAAGGGCUCGUAGGCGGUUUGUCGCGUCGGGAGUGAAAACUCAGGGCUUAACCCUGAGCCUGCUUCCGAUACGGGCAGACUAGAGGUAUGCAGGGGAGAGCGGAAUUCCUGGUGUAGCGGUGAAAUGCGCAGAUAUCAGGAGGAACACCGGUGGCGAAGGCGGUUCUCUGGGCAUUACCUGACGCUGAGGAGCGAAAGUGUGGGGAGCGAACAGG